This 411-nucleotide ribosomal RNA is filed under the name uncultured bacterium. RNAcentral's name for it is "bacterial SSU rRNA". It matches the Rfam family "Bacterial small subunit ribosomal RNA", at positions 370 to 772 of the family's 1533-position model. The record is from RNAcentral.
AAUGGACGAAAGUCUGACGCAGCAACGCCGCGUGUGGGAUGAAGCUUCUUGGAGUGUAAACCACUGUCGGGAGGGACGAAUGAUUAUGGUUCUAAUAUAGCUAUAGUUUGACGGUACCUUCAAAGGAAGCUCCGGCUAACUCCGUGCCAGCAGCCGCGGUAAUACGGGGGGAGCAAGCGUUGUUCGGAAUCACUGGGCGUAAAGGGUGCGCAGGCGGGAGAUUAAGUCGGAUGUGAAAUCCUCGGGCUCAACCCGAGGCCUGCAUUUGAAACUGAUCUUCUUGAGUAUCGGAGAGGAAAGCGGAACUCCAGGUGUAGCGGUGAAAUGCGUAGAUAUCUGGAGGAACACCUGUGGCGAAGGCGGCUUUCUGGCCGAAUACUGACGCUCAUGCACGAAGGCUAGGGGAGCAAA